UAAAAACCCCGACUUCGGAAGGGGUGUAUUUAUUAGAUACAAAACCGAUGCCCUUCGGGGCUCUUUGGUGAUUCAUGAUAACUAUACGAAUCGCACGGCCUUGCGCCGGCGAUGGUUCAUUCAAAUUUCUUCCCUAUCAACUUUCGAUGUUUGGGUAUUGGCCAAACAUGGUUGCAACGGGUAACGGAGGGUUAGGGCUCGACCCCGGAGAAGGAGCCUGAGAAACGGCUACUACAUCCAAGGAAGGCAGCAGGCGCGCAAAUUACCCAAUCCCGACUCGGGGAGGUAGUGACAAUAAAUACUGAUACGGGGCUCUUUCGGGUCUCGUAAUUGGAAUGAGUACAAUCUAAAUCCCUUAACGAGGAACAAUUGGAGGGCAAGUCUGGUGCCAGCAGCCGCGGUAAUUCCAGCUCCAAUAGCGUAUAUUAAAGUUGUUGCCGUUAAAAAGCUCGUAGUUGAACCUUGGACCUGGCUGAUCUGUCCUCCUAAUCGAGCGCACGGAUUCGGUCGGGUCUUUCCUUCUGGGGAGCCCUAUGCCCUGCACUGGGCGUGGCGGGGAAACAGGACAUUUACUUU
Molecule: ribosomal RNA, 576 nt
Filed under: uncultured eukaryote
Lineage: Eukaryota
Description: SSU rRNA
Rfam family: Eukaryotic small subunit ribosomal RNA
Source: RNAcentral